GUUUUUCUCUCUUUUCUCUGAGAUUUCCUUUUAGUUUUCUAAGGCAGAGGCCUAUGUUAUGCGAAUCGUAACAGCCAUUCCUUGCCUUUUCCGAGCAAGGGAUGGCCCUCCAUGCCUCACCGAUCAUGGGUUUCCUUCCCCUCUCUCAUGUGGGGUUGCACAUAGGUGUUUUGGGGUUGAGUUUGUGGCUUGCAGGUCGAUUGUUCAUGGUGAAGGAAUCUUGCAACCUGUCCAAGAUUUAUUUUUGGUUGCAUAUAGGAUGAAGUUUGACCGGAGAGGACACUUCCCUCUUCUUCCUACCUGCACUUGCGUGGCCAUGUUGUUUAGAGAAGCUGUGAUUUUGUGACUUAGGCUCUCUGUGUUCAGCCUGCAGGAAAGUGCAUUUAGUUUUAGGCCGUGAUGAUGGUCAACUCCGAGGUCCAAUAGCCAGCUUUUAGUUGCCUGACCCUUGAAAGCUCAGAAUACUAUAGGAGCUCUAGCCGUCGACUCUUCCGCAGAUCAGAGAUGGUGGAUCUUUGUUUCUUUGCCUCAUGGAAAGGACGGUUCUUAAGUGAGAGCUGAUGGUGUUGUUCAUAUGUGUAAUCUUGAGAGUUUCUUUCCAUGGAAGACUAGCGGGGUGGGAGACGAGUGAUGGGUGGCGGUGACGCUGUUCCAAGAUUUGCGUAGUAUUUUUUUUUUUUCUCCUUCAGUCCCUAGGGUUAGCUUUAUGGGCCUUUGGGCCGGUUUAAUUAGAAGAGCUUGUUAGACCCCUUUUUAUCUUCGUAAUAUUUAGGCUUUACUUUGGGUUAAUGUUGUGAGCCCAUAUCUGUAUUUACCUAGUUGCAGUUGAACGAACACUUUUACUUGCUAG
This 850-nucleotide unclassified non-coding RNA is filed under the name Hevea brasiliensis (rubber tree). The record is from RNAcentral. Lineage: Eukaryota; Viridiplantae; Streptophyta; Magnoliopsida; Malpighiales; Euphorbiaceae.